Molecule: ribosomal RNA, 251 nt
Filed under: uncultured prokaryote
Description: partial 16S ribosomal RNA
Rfam family: Bacterial small subunit ribosomal RNA
Source: RNAcentral
ACGGAGGUCCCUAGCGUUGUUCGGAAUCACUGGGCUUAAAGCGCGUGCAGGCGGUUCGGUAAGUCGGGCGUGAAAGCUCCUGGCUCAACUGGGAGAGGCCGUCCGAAACUGCCAGACUUGAGGGCGACAGAGGGGAGUGGAAUUCCGGGUGUAGUGGUGAAAUGCGUAGAUAUCCGGAGGAACACCAGUGGCGAAGGCGGCUCCCUGGGUCGCUCCUGACGCUCAGACGCGAAAGCGUGGGUAGCGAACGG